GACGAACGCUGGCGGCGUGCCUAAUACAUGCAAGUCGAGCGAAGUUUUUCUGGUGCUUGCACUAGAAACACUUAGCGGCGAACGGGUGAGUAACACGUAAAGAACCUGCCUCAUAGACUGGGACAACUAUUGGAAACGAUAGCUAAUACCGGAUAACAGUAUUUCUCGCAUGAGAGAUAUUUAAAAGUUGGUUAUGCUAACACUAUGAGAUGGCUUUGCGGUGCAUUAGCUAGUUGGUGGGGUAAAGGCCCACCAAGGCGACGAUGCAUAGCCGACCUGAGAGGGUGAUCGGCCACACUGGGACUGAGACACGGCCCGGACUCCUACGGGAGGCAGCAGUAGGGAAUCUUCCGCAAUGGGCGAAAGCCUGACGGAGCAACGCCGCGUGAGUGAAGAAGGAUUUCGGUUCGUAAAGCUCUGUUGUUAGGGAAGAAUGGAUAUGUAGUAACUAUACAUGUAAGAGACGGUACCUAACCAGAAAGCCACGGCUAACUACGUG
This 499-nucleotide ribosomal RNA is filed under the name uncultured bacterium. RNAcentral's name for it is "partial 16S ribosomal RNA". It matches the Rfam family "Bacterial small subunit ribosomal RNA", at positions 28 to 507 of the family's 1533-position model. The record is from RNAcentral.